CCUACGGGAGGCAGCAGUGAGGAAUAUUGGUCAAUGGACGAGAGUCUGAACCAGCCAAGUAGCGUGAAGGAUGACUGCCCUAUGGGUUGUAAACUUCUUUUAUAUGGGAAUAAAAUGUUCCACGUGUGGGAUUUUGUAUGUACCAUAUGAAUAAGGAUCGGCUAACUCCGUGCCAGCAGCCGCGGUAAUACCGAGGAUCCGAGCGUUAUCCGGAUUUAUUGGGUUUAAAGGGAGCGUAGGUGGAUUGUUAAGUCAGUUGUGAAAGUUUGCGGCUCAACCGUAAAAUUGCAGUUGAAACUGGCAGUCUUGAGUACAGUAGAGGUGGGCGGAAUUCGUGGUGUAGCGGUGAAAUGCUUAGAUAUCACGAAGAACUCCGAUUGCGAAGGCAGUUCACUGGACUGCAACUGACACUGAGGCUCGAAAGUGUGGGUAUCAAACAGGAUUAGAUACCCCUGUAGUC
RNAcentral lists this ribosomal RNA (460 nucleotides) under uncultured bacterium. Its description in RNAcentral is "partial 16S ribosomal RNA". It matches the Rfam family "Bacterial small subunit ribosomal RNA", at positions 338 to 795 of the family's 1533-position model. The record is from RNAcentral.